GCAGGUAUGGUGGAAUUGGCAGACACGCCAGAUUUAGGAUCUGGUGGGAAACCGUGCAGGUUCAAGUCCUGUUACCUGCACCA
RNAcentral lists this transfer RNA (83 nucleotides) under Eubacterium sp. RNAcentral describes it as "tRNA-Leu". It matches the Rfam family "tRNA". From Rfam's summary of the family: Transfer RNA (tRNA) molecules are approximately 80 nucleotides in length. The record is from RNAcentral. Lineage: Bacteria; Bacillati; Bacillota; Clostridia; Eubacteriales; Eubacteriaceae.